RNAcentral lists this ribosomal RNA (256 nucleotides) under uncultured bacterium. RNAcentral describes it as "partial 16S ribosomal RNA". It matches the Rfam family "Bacterial small subunit ribosomal RNA", at positions 524 to 776 of the family's 1533-position model. The record is from RNAcentral.
UACGUAGGGUCCGAGCGUUGUCCGGAAUUAUUGGGCGUAAAGAGCUCGUAGGCGGUUUGUCGCGUCUGCUGUGAAAUCUGGAGGCUCAACCUCCAGCCUGCAGUGGGUACGGGCAGACUGGAGUACUGCAGGGGGAGACUGGAAUUCCUGGUGUAGCGGUGGAAUGCGCAGAUAUCAGGAGGAACACCGGUGGCGAAGGCGGGUCUCUGGGCCAAAACUGACGCUGGAGGAGCGAAAGCGUCGGGGAGCGAACAGG